AAAAUAUUAAUAAAAGGGGUGUGUCUCCAAACAGCCAUCUCUUUCCUGACAAUUCGCUUUGUGCAUAUUCUCUUACAUAUGAUAAGUCAAUAUUGAAACACCUGCGGCUUUUGGUCAGGUGCGGCUAAUGUAUGUACAAAACAGGAUUUUCCCCUGAUUUUAGCUUGUGCGGCUAAUAUUUAGGUGCGCUCUGUAGUCCGGGAAAUACGGUAAUUAUAAAUAUGCAUAUAAAUAUGCUAGGAUGAGAUAGCUGACUUCAUCUAACUAGCAAAUGUUGUCCAGGCUACGUUGGUGAUGCAGUUUUUUUUAAUGUGUAUGAUAUUUUUGUCAUGCGAUUUUAAAGCCGGUCCUACAACCGCAUCCAAGAAUAACAUGCAGCUUAUCUCAGAACUGUCGGUGAAAAUUAUUCUUGGAGCUAGGUUUAAUUGAGCUGCAUUUUAAAGAGGUGCAAUUUUACAAUUUGUGUAUAUUUUCUAAGUUCACUAUUUUGUCAUGUGUUGAGAAAAACACAGAUUUUAAAAUUACAUGGUCUAAUAUUUACAUUUAGCAUAACUGCAACAUGCUUUUUUUUUUUUUUUUUUUAAAGACUCGAAAGGACUUGAAAUUCAAAACUUGUGACUUGACUCGGACUUUUACACCAGUGACUUGAGACUCGACUCUGACUUGCCUGACAUUACUUGAGACUUGACUUGAGACUUGAGGAUAAAGACUUGAGACUUACUUGAGACUUGCAAAACAAUGACUUGGUCCCACCUCUGGUAUAUAU
This is a long non-coding RNA of Astatotilapia calliptera (eastern happy), 766 nucleotides long. Lineage: Eukaryota; Metazoa; Chordata; Actinopteri; Cichliformes; Cichlidae. The record is from Ensembl.